UACGGAGGGUGCAAGCGUUGCUCGGAAUUACUGGGCGUAAAGCGCGUGUAGGCGGUUUCGUAUGUCUGGCGUGAAAGCCCCGGGCUCACCCCGGGAAGUGCGUUGGAAACUGCGAGACUAGAGUCCCGGAGAGGAAGGUGGAAUUCCAGGUGUAGCGGUGAAAUGCGUAGAUAUCUGGAAGAACACCGGUGGCGAAGGCGGCCUUCUGGACGGUGACUGACGCUGAGACGCGAAAGCGUGGGGAGCAAACAGG
This 253-nucleotide ribosomal RNA is filed under the name uncultured bacterium. RNAcentral's name for it is "partial 16S ribosomal RNA". It matches the Rfam family "Bacterial small subunit ribosomal RNA", at positions 524 to 776 of the family's 1533-position model. The record is from RNAcentral.